UACGGAGGAAAAGAAACUAACAAGGAUUCCCCUAGUAGCGGCGAGCGAAGCGGGAAGAGCUCAAAUUUAUAAUCUGGCACUUUCAGUGUCCGAGUUGUAAUCUCUAGAAGUGUUUUCCGCGUUGGACCGCACAUAAGUCUGUUGGAACACAGCGGCAUAGUGGUGAGACCCCCGUAUUCGGUGCGGACGCCCAACGCUUUGCGAUACACUUUCGAAGAGUCGAGUUGUUUGGGAAUGCAGCUCAAAUUGGGUGGUAAAUUCCAUCUAAAGCUAAAUAUUGGCGAGAGACCGAUAGCGAACAAGUACCGUGAGGGAAAGAUGAAAAGCACUUUGGAAAGAGAGUUAACAGUACGUGAAAUUGUUGGAAGGGAAACGCUUGAAGUCAGACUUGCUUGCCGGAUUUAUUCGGUUUGCAGGCCAGCAUCAGUUUUCCGGGGUGGAAAAUGGCGGUUAGAAGGUAGCAGUUUCGGCUGUGUUAUAGCUUUCCGCUGGAUACAUUCUGGGGGACUGAGGAACGCAGCACGCUUUUAGCGAGGGAUUCGUCCCUUUCGUGCUUAGGAUGCUGGUGUAAUGGCUUUAAACGACCCUC
This 589-nucleotide ribosomal RNA is filed under the name fungal sp. RNAcentral describes it as "partial large subunit ribosomal RNA". It matches the Rfam family "Eukaryotic large subunit ribosomal RNA", at positions 49 to 652 of the family's 3401-position model. The record is from RNAcentral. Lineage: Eukaryota; Fungi.